GGAUGAACGCUAGCUACAGGCUUAACACAUAGCAAGUCGAGGGGCAGCAUGAAGUUUGCUUGCAAACUUGAUGGCGACCGGCGCACGGGUGAGUAACGCGUAUCCAACCUUCCCUAGUAGUAGGGGGAUAGCCCGUAGAAAUGCGGAUUAAUACCCUAUGUUGUAUUUUGAGGACAUCUGAUGAAUACCAAAGGUUCACCGCUAUAGGAUGGGGAUGCGUCUGAUUAGGUAGUCGGCGGGGUAACGGCCCACCGAGCCAACGAUCAGUAGGGGUUCUGAGAGGAAGGUCCCCCACAUUGGAACUGAGACACGGUCCAAACUCCUACGGGAGGCAGCAGUGAGGAAUAUUGGUCAAUGGGCGAGAGCCUGAACCAGCCAAGUAGCGUGCAGGAUGACGGCCCUAUGGGUUGUAAACUGCUUUUAUGCGGGGAUAAAGUGGGGACGUGUCCCUUUUUGUAGGUACCGCAUGAAUAAGGACCGGCUAAUUCCGUGCCAGCCGCUGC
This 503-nucleotide ribosomal RNA is filed under the name uncultured bacterium. RNAcentral's name for it is "bacterial SSU rRNA". It matches the Rfam family "Bacterial small subunit ribosomal RNA", at positions 27 to 518 of the family's 1533-position model. The record is from RNAcentral.